RNAcentral lists this long non-coding RNA (1005 nucleotides) under Corvus moneduloides (New Caledonian crow). RNAcentral's name for it is "lncRNA (ENSCMUG00000018952.1)". The record is from RNAcentral. Lineage: Eukaryota; Metazoa; Chordata; Aves; Passeriformes; Corvidae.
AUGGGACAGGGAUGGGACAGGGAUGGGACGGGAAUGGGACAGGGAUGGGACAGGGAUGGGACAGGGAUGGGACAGGGAUGGGACAGGGAUGGGGAUGGGAUGGGGACGGGGAUGGGACAGGGAUGGGACGGGGAUGGGGACAGGGAUGGGACGGGGAUGGGACAGGGAUGGGAGAGGGAUGGGAUGAGGAUGGGACAGGGAUGGUACAGGGAUGGGACAGGGAUGGGACGGGGAUGGGACGGGGAUGGGACGGGGAUGGGACGGGGAUGGGAUGAGGAUGGGACAGGGAUGGGACGGGGAUGGGUACGGGGAUGGGGAGGGGAUGGGAUGGGGAUGGGACGGGGAAGGGGACGGGGAUGGGACAGGGAUGGGGAUGGGAUGGGGACAGGGAUGGGACGGGAAUGGGACAGGGAUGGGACAGGGAUGGGGAUGGGGACGGGGAUGGGACAGGGAUGGGGACAGGGAUGGGACGGGGAUGGGACGGGGAUGGGACAGGGAUGGGAGAGGGAUGGGAUGAGGAUGGGACAGGGAUGGGACAGGGAUGGGACGGGGAUGGGACGGGGAUGGGUACGGGGAUGGGGAGGGGAUGGGACAGGGAUGGGACGGGGAUGGGACGGGGAUGGGAUGAGGAUGGGACAGGGAUGGGACGGGGAUGGGACGGGGAUGGGUACGGGGAUGGGGAGGGGAUGGGACAGGGAUGGGACGGGGAUGGGACGGGGAUGGGAUGGGGAUGGGACAGGGAUGGGAUGGGGAUGGGGAUGGGACAGGGAUGGGACAGGGAUGGGGACGGGGAUAGGACGGGGAUGGGGACAGGGGCGACAGGAAGCGGGGAUUGGGAUGGGAUAUCAGCGAGAAUCACCCCAUCAGGGGAUCAGGCUGAGGGCAGCUCCCAAAAAUUCCCCCCAUGCUCAGCAGAGCCCGUGCUGCCUCCCCGCUGCGGCGUGGUGGCACAGGGGUGAGCAGCAUGCCCGAGGCACCUCAGCAGCCAUCAGGAUUUUGAAAUAA